UGUUUUGUUCACACAUUUAAAAAAAAAACCAGCAACAUCAGACACACAGGCAGCAGUGUGAACACUAGCGCCGCCUCAGCACAUCACCUGACUGAAGCACGUCGGACACUUCAGCUGAAACACACAGGAAGUUGAAACGACUUGCGUUUUUCUGCAACUUGUCACGCAAAACGAAGCUUUUCUGGCAGUUUUUUCUUACUUUCCUAUGGGCUACAGUCAUAUCUGAAUGCCAGCUGGUAAGAGCAGGGCGAUGAAGAGGGGGGAGGGUUGAAAGGUUAGCCCACUGUGCAUGAGGGGGAAUGGAGCUCAGUGCUACUUUCUCAUUCGUGCCGUGGCCACAGAAGGAGACGUUCUAUUGCACAAUGAUCGAGUUUUGAAUGUCAGAUGUGUUUUAUGUGUUUCAAGACACGGAUGCAAGACUACAAAUAUUGCCAAACGGCGGUGAGUUCAAUGUUCUUCUACCUGGAUGGGAGUGAAGUGCCUCAGGUGCGUUUAAAGAGACGGCGUCAAAACAAGUUGCUGUCAGACACACCUCAGAACAGGCAUAGAGGAGGGGCCUGUGGAGCUGCAACUGUCACAGCUGCUGCUGAGCUGUAACCACUCACACCUGAUCGUCAUCACCCGGAUCCCCAGCUGCUGCCAUAUAAGGAUGGAUCUUCCCCCUGCACGGCGUCAGAUUGUUGUGAAACCCUCAGCGGUAACACUUUCAGGCCUGCUGUAGUAACUUGAGCUAACUGCCCAGUAACUAACCUGUCUGUCUCUUCCUUCUGCCUAGUUGCCUCUCCUGUCCCUGAUCCUGACCCCCACCUCUGGUUUUGGACCUCCUGCCUUCGACCCCCUGUCUGUCUGACCCUGAGAUCUGGAACCUGUUUUGACCUGGAUUUGGACCCGCUGGCUCUGACCCCCCUGUCUGUCUGACCCCGAGAUCUGGAAUUGCCUGACCCUGAUUUGGAUUCCCUGGUUCUGACCCCGGCCUGUCUGACCAAGAAAUAGUUUAUCUCCUAAAUAAACACCUGUUUUUGUA
Molecule: long non-coding RNA, 1024 nt
Organism: Poecilia reticulata (guppy)
Lineage: Eukaryota; Metazoa; Chordata; Actinopteri; Cyprinodontiformes; Poeciliidae
Source: RefSeq, a predicted model, not a curated record